This is a non-coding RNA of Cinara cedri, 414 nucleotides long. The record is from the annotation of a GenBank genome assembly. Lineage: Eukaryota; Metazoa; Arthropoda; Insecta; Hemiptera; Aphididae.
CUGUACGAUGACUAUUUUAAUUUUAAAAAACUGAAGAGUAACACUAGAUUUUAUUAUUAUUUAUUGAUGUGAAUAACAAUUAAUCCGAUUUUUAUUUGUUUUUUUUAAGUUACAACAGACAAUGGAAACAAAGUGUUGUGAUUUAUACAUACAAGAUAGAUUGUUAGGGCAAAAACAAUUAUUUUUUUUGUACGAAUGUCAUAUGUGUAUCUCAAAUUUUGUAAUUUAUUUAUUUUCAUCCGUUGAGUACCUACUGUUACUGUGACCACCUCUUACUUUUCCCAACACAGGAAUUGUGUAGUAGGUACCUAAAAUACCUUAUGUUUUAAAAUUUAUUUUGAAACAGUUGAUUAAGAUGAUAAAAAUAUAAAUUAAUAAACUAAUUUGAAUUAGAUUCCUAUAAAUAUUUUGAAG